This is a non-coding RNA of Delphinapterus leucas (beluga whale), 1169 nucleotides long. The record is from RefSeq and is a predicted model, not a curated record. NCBI's taxonomy places the organism in Eukaryota, Metazoa, Chordata, Mammalia, Artiodactyla, Monodontidae.
AGACUCUGAGAGGGCUCACGCCAAGGAGUACGUCCCAGAACUUUUGUCACCAGCGUCCCUGUCCCCACGGUGAAACAGAGCCACCCCCCGCCUCUGCACGGGACCCUCCAACAUUAGCAGGGACUUCCGCAGAGGGAAGAUUGCUACCUCUCAACAGUCACCAGCCAAUUUUCACUCCUUGGAAGGAAGCAGAGGAAGAUGUUUUUCACCACAGCAAGCUGUGUGACUCGACCAUAGCCUGCCCCACUCUGGACUUGAAAGACCUCCCUCAUUUAAUGCAUCAGGAGCAAAACGAGGAGGAGGAAGAAAGAGAACAAGAAGAUGCCUGUGGGGAGGAUGGCCCUGGGUACUGGAAAAGGGAUGAGCCUGUUCUGUAGUGAGCACACAAAUGUGCACGUGUAAAAAAAAAGCAAAGAACUAAACAAACACACACAAAAUACCUUUAAAACUGGUGAAACGUGAAUCAACAGGAAAUGUCAGGAGAUACAGCCCUUCGAGACUAUAAAUUGGAUGUCGGCACCUAUCCAUCUUCUCUGAUGGAAUAAACCUGCAAUUUUGACUCAGCUCACCUUGCAAUCCAUUGAUUUUCCUACCUGUUUCUAAGAAAACUGGACUUGAAUAAAAUGGAGACAGUCAUUUGGUGACUUGUGGCCAAGGAAAGGGACCUGGAAGCAGCCACUUUUUGGGACCCAGUAGGUACAUACUCUGCUUAGGACCAGUGCCAAGUUACUGAUGUAAUGAAAAGUACUAUUAUAAUUUUUAAUAUCCAGUAAUGCAUAAAAACAAAGCAGACUAAUAAUAGAGGACCAAUUAAUUCAUUGUUUUUGACACUGUCUCCUAGUGGCAACAUGGCGCAAAGGAAAGACCACAGCUUUGGGGCCAUAAAGACUUGGUUUUGAAUCUGGUUUCUUCUCCUUUAAUUAGUUUUAAGUUUCAUUUAUCUUAGUUUUAAAGAUAAGGCAUACUCAGCACCUAACCAUAUGGCUGGCAUUUACUGCUUCCCUGAAGGAUCAUACCAGUCUUUUUCCUUUGUUUCUUUUUUGUUAGUUACCUAUCUAUGUAUACAUGUAUCUAUUUAUUCAAGGAGGUUAUUUUUUGGCUAUCAAAUAGGGGACAGCAAUAAAGAAUCCAUUUAUUUCAGAUUAUGACUUAUUUGUAUUUUGUAAGAA